GUAAGAGCAGAAUAAAUAUGGAUAUGUAAUAUGAACAAUGUUGAACAACAUGUUGUUGUGUAAGUGCUUUGGGUUUCACUCUGUUCUAAAAGCGCUAUAUAAAUGAAUACUUUACUUUAUGAUUGCCCUUCAUUUCACUGGAAUAUUUUCAUGCCUUUAUGCAGCAUUUGCCCAAUGUUGUCCUUGUUAUGUGUUUUCAUUGUGACACUGAAAACUGAAUACUGUUACCACACACAAGUAUUUCAUGAUAUUUUAAAUGCACAGAUACAGAUUUUUUACCAUUACUUUUCAUCCAUUGUAGUUAUGAAGUUGUGUGUUGAAUCACAACCACAAAAUGACAGUUCACAUAGCACAAAUGUUUCAAUGCUCAAAUGGUUGAAGGAUCUGCGCCAGCUGUACCAACAUACACACACACACACACACACACACACACACACACACACAUACAAAUAC
This is a long non-coding RNA of Alosa sapidissima (American shad), 453 nucleotides long. RefSeq lists it as uncharacterized. NCBI's taxonomy places the organism in Eukaryota, Metazoa, Chordata, Actinopteri, Clupeiformes, Clupeidae. The transcript is spliced from 3 exons. The record is from RefSeq and is a predicted model, not a curated record.